This 492-nucleotide ribosomal RNA is filed under the name uncultured bacterium. Its description in RNAcentral is "partial 16S ribosomal RNA". It matches the Rfam family "Bacterial small subunit ribosomal RNA", at positions 29 to 507 of the family's 1533-position model. The record is from RNAcentral.
AGUGAACGCUGGCGGUAGGCCUAACACAUGCAAGUCGAACGGCAGCACAGUAAGAGCUUGCUCUUACGGGUGGCGAGUGGCGGACGGGUGAGGAAUACAUCGGAAUCUACUUUUUCGUGGGGGAUAACGUAGGGAAACUUACGCUAAUACCGCAUACGACCUACGGGUGAAAGCAGUGGUUCUUCGGACCUUGCGCGUUUGAAUGAGCCGAUGUCGGAUUAGCUAGUUGGCGGGGUAAAGGCCCACCAAGGCGACGAUCCGUAGCUGGUCUGAGAGGAUGAUCAGCCACACUGGAACUGAGACACGGUCCAGACUCCUACGGGAGGCAGCAGUGGGGAAUAUUGGACAAUGGGCGCAAGCCUGAUCCAGCCAUACCGCGUGAGUGAAGAAGGCCUUCGGGUUGUAAAGCCCUUUUGUUGGGAAAGAAAAGCAGCAGGUUAAUACCCCGCUGUUCUGACGGUACCCAAAGAAUAAGCACCGGCUAACUUCGUG